CUCUUUUCUCUUCCACUAUCUGCAAGCAGAGAAGUCUGAGGUCCCAGGGACUGGCAAAGCCACAGGAUGAAAGGAACUUGAGGCUCUCCUUCACUACCUGCAGGAAAAGCACCUGUCGCAACAAGGAGCCCUUGCACUGAAUGGUUGCAUAAGUAACUACCCACCUUCUAUUGCAUGCCUGGCACAUGCUAACCAAGCUUUACCUCUGAGGAGCUCACAGACCAACAUUCCUCUGGAGGAGGGAGCAGGUUUUGAUGAAACACACCCACCAAGAAAAAUGCUGUGACAGGUUGUGAGGUUGGAAGUUGAAACAGAAGCAUCAAGUUCUAAUAGAUCCUGCCCUGUUAAGUGAAGUCCCCGGAACAAGAUGCCGUUUCAAGGGAAACGGAUCUGGGCUUUUAAAACUCUCUACUCACGAUGAGAAUAUAAAAAGAUGGGUCCGGGAGAACAAAGGGAGAGAUUUUGGGGGAUGAUUCCUUGGGAAGAAGUGUACCCAGCCCUUUUGCUAGCAUGUUGGGGGGGCAUGAAGAGAUCCCUCCUCCACCUCAUCCAAGUUGCUGUAAAAGACAUGAUUUCAUUCUUUUUUAUGGCUGAGUAGUAUUCCAUGGUAUCUGUAUACCACAUUUUCUUUAUCCACUCGUCGGUUGAUGGGCACUUAGAUUGGUUCCACGUCUUUGCAAUUGCCCCCACCUCAAAUUUAGU
This 702-nucleotide long non-coding RNA is filed under the name Homo sapiens (human). Its description in RNAcentral is "HSALNT0215671". The record is from RNAcentral. Lineage: Eukaryota; Metazoa; Chordata; Mammalia; Primates; Hominidae.